UACGUAUGGUGCAAGCGUUAUCCGGAUUUACUGGGCGUAAAGGGAGCGCAGGCGGCGCGCCAAGUCUGAUGUGAAACCCCGGGGCUCAACCCCGGGCAUGCAUUGGAAACUGGCGGGCUGGAGUGCCGGAGAGGUAAGUGGAAUUCCUAGUGUAGCGGUGAAAUGCGUAGAUAUUAGGAGGAACACCAGUGGCGAAGGCGGCUUACUGGACUGUAACUGACGUUGAGGCUCGAAAGCGUGGGGAGCAAACAGG
This 253-nucleotide ribosomal RNA is filed under the name uncultured bacterium. RNAcentral describes it as "partial 16S ribosomal RNA". It matches the Rfam family "Bacterial small subunit ribosomal RNA", at positions 524 to 776 of the family's 1533-position model. The record is from RNAcentral.